RNAcentral lists this ribosomal RNA (246 nucleotides) under Escherichia coli. RNAcentral describes it as "partial 16S ribosomal RNA". It matches the Rfam family "Bacterial small subunit ribosomal RNA", at positions 140 to 388 of the family's 1533-position model. Lineage: Bacteria; Pseudomonadati; Pseudomonadota; Gammaproteobacteria; Enterobacterales; Enterobacteriaceae. The record is from RNAcentral.
GGGAUAACUACUGGAAACGGUAGCUAAUACCGCAUAACGUCGCAAGACCAAAGAGGGGGACCUUCGGGCCUCUUGCCAUCGGAUGUGCCCAGAUGGGAUUAGCUAGUAGGUGGGGUAACGGCUCACCUAGGCGACGAUCCCUAGCUGGUCUGAGAGGAUGACCAGCCACACUGGAACUGAGACACGGUCCAGACUCCUACGGGAGGCAGCAGUGGGGAAUAUUGCACAAUGGGCGCAAGCCUGAUG